This 494-nucleotide ribosomal RNA is filed under the name uncultured bacterium. RNAcentral describes it as "partial 16S ribosomal RNA". It matches the Rfam family "Bacterial small subunit ribosomal RNA", at positions 28 to 507 of the family's 1533-position model. The record is from RNAcentral.
GACGAACGCUGGCGGCGUGCUUAACACAUGCAAGUCGAACGGAAAGGCCUGCUUUCCCUUGUGGGUUGCGGGUACUCGAGUGGCGAACGGACGAGUAACACGUGACUGAUCCGCUCCCAACUUGGGUAUAAGCCUGGGCAACUGGGUCUAAUUCCCUCUAGGACUGCAGGGUGGUGCCUGUGGUGGCAAACGAUUUUCUUGUGGUCGCGGCUGAGCUCGCGGGGUGUCAGUUUGUUGGUGGGGAAAUGUCCUACCAAGGCGGGGACAGGUAGCCGGCCCGGGAGAGUGGACCGGCGAGUUGGGACGGAGAUACGGGCCAGACGCUUACGGGAAGCAGCAGUGGGGAAGAAGGCGCAGUGGGCGGAAGCCUGAUGCAGCGACGCUGAGUGGGGGAUGACGGCUUUCGGGUGGUAACCUCCUGUCGGCAGCGAGGAAGCGACCGGGAUGGAAGGGUGGUGACGGUAGUGGUAGAAGAAGCACCGGCUAACUACGUG